Molecule: ribosomal RNA, 296 nt
Filed under: Rhipicephalus appendiculatus
Lineage: Eukaryota; Metazoa; Arthropoda; Arachnida; Ixodida; Ixodidae
Description: partial small subunit ribosomal RNA
Source: RNAcentral
AAGUAUAUAAUAAUUACGAAAGCAAAAAAUUAUGGCGGUAUUUUAAGCUUUUCAGAGGAAUUUGCUCUUUAAUGGAUAAAACACCUAAAUCUUACUUAAAUUUGUCAAAUCAACUUGUAUACCACUAUUAAAACAAUUAUUAACUCUAAUUGUUAAUAUUUAAAAAUAUAAAUUAAUUUAAAUUAAGUCAAGGUGCAGUAAAAAUUUAAGAAUGAAGUGAAUUACAUUACUUUUAAGAGAAAUAAAAUUAAAUAAAAUUUAGGAUUUGAAAGUAAAAUUAAAAUAGAAUGUUAAUU